AUUCGCUGCUAUGAAUGAAGCUUAAGAAAAGCUGUCUUUGGAUUGCUACUAAUAGUCAUCUUCAUCAUUCCUGCGCCCUCUCUCUCAGUUCCCUUAUGAAAUAAGGGCACACGGGUAAUAAACAAAGCACUAUAAAAGAUCAGAUGGAGGUGUUCUGUGGGCUCACUCCAUGUCGGGAGCAAGCAUUCUGCACACCACCGCGGGUGCUUUCUGCUCCCAAAGGUGGUUCAAGAGUGAGGACUAGUGGCCGAGUUAAGCUAGACCCCUUUCUCCCUUGAUACAACCUCGCUGAAUUUGUCAGGGCCGUGUCCUUGGUCAGCUAAACCACACCUGACGACCGAGGGACAGGAAAAGAUGGCAGAGUAGAGACCCUUGGAUUUGCUCUUUUGGAUUUUGGAUUUUGACCUGGCUUUAUCAAUCCUCAAGCCAGAUCCAGGAAAAGGUGGUGGUACCCUUGGAAAUCUCCAGGAGCAGCUUCAACAGUCAACUACACCAGUAGUGCUCACAGCUGGAAAAUUCAUGCCAGUGGAAGAAUCUGUAGUGUCGCACAAACUCGCUGUGAAGCUGAGGAAUGUGCCUAAUGCCUGGAGCUGAACAAAAUGGCGGCCGUUUUUCUUUCCAGGAAAGGAGACUUCACAGCAGAUGGGGAGAGGAAGAUUGGUGCUGAGCUAACAUCCGUUUCCAAUAUGCCUCUUUUUGCUUGAGGAAGAUUGCCACUGAGCUAAAACCUGUGCCAAUCUUCCUCUAUUUUGUAUGUAGGAUGCCGCCACAGUGUGGCUUGAUGAGCAGUGUGUAGGUCCGUACCCAGGAUCUGAACCUGCGAACCCUGGGCCGUCGAAGAGGAGGGUGUGAGCCCAAUCACUAUGUCACCUGGCCGGCCUUAUCUUUUUCUUUUUUUUAAUCUCCCUUGGGGUAGAUAUAGGUCUCAUCCAAAUAUCCAAACAGAUUCAUUCCUCAUUGCAAUCCUUUCCAAGGCAUUGGGAACUGUAUUCCUUCCACAUGUUCAUUUUGUGGUCAUCAGCGUUUCCUGUCCACGGGCUUUCUGUGAAUUCUCUUUGGACUUAGCUUGGCCUGUGUUUGUAGGAGUGACUGGAAGACAGCCUUGCUUUUGAUAAAAGAGUAUCAUUUCAUCAGGUCCCACACAUACACAGAGUCCGAC
Molecule: long non-coding RNA, 1159 nt
Filed under: Equus asinus (donkey)
Lineage: Eukaryota; Metazoa; Chordata; Mammalia; Perissodactyla; Equidae
Description: lncRNA (ENSEASG00005026876.1)
Source: RNAcentral